CGCAGGGCGCAGCUAUAUUUGACCGCAGAGGUUGAACCCUGAACAGUUGGGGCAAGUAUGUACACAACAUUUAAGCUGGAUUCAGCUGUAAAUUGGGAUUGUGAUUAAAUAGUUGACACAGCAUAGGUUUCUGACACAGAAUGAAUGUGGUCUAAUGAACUUAAAAUAUUUUUUUUUGCCUUUGAGCAAUUCACUAUGCUGUUGAAUAUUAAUCCUCUCAAAAAAAUGUUUGAAGAAAUUUUCUUUUUAUUUAUGAAAUCUGAAAUGAGAAAAAUUUAACCCCCCCUCCCAUUUUUUUUUCACAUCCCCCUUUCCUUUUUUCCAAAACUGAUCUCAAUUCAAAUUCCUAAUGGAG
RNAcentral lists this long non-coding RNA (355 nucleotides) under Mytilus galloprovincialis (Mediterranean mussel). The record is from RNAcentral. Lineage: Eukaryota; Metazoa; Mollusca; Bivalvia; Mytilida; Mytilidae.